Molecule: unclassified non-coding RNA, 76 nt
Filed under: Pseudomonas koreensis
Lineage: Bacteria; Pseudomonadati; Pseudomonadota; Gammaproteobacteria; Pseudomonadales; Pseudomonadaceae
Source: RNAcentral
AAAGAUCGCAGCCUGCGGCAGCGCCUACAGGGUCAUGUGAACACCUGAGUAGGAGCUGCCGCAGGCUGCGAUCUUU